AGCAGCAGCGGAAGCAUCAAACAAACAAUCCCCUCGCCUUUUACUAGGGGAUUCCGUGCUGCUUCCGCAUCCAAUGCUGCAUUACAAUCUUUGGAACCCCUCUUCCUUCGGAAGU
This 115-nucleotide small nuclear RNA is filed under the name Galerina marginata CBS 339.88. RNAcentral's name for it is "U5 spliceosomal RNA". It matches the Rfam family "U5 spliceosomal RNA". From Rfam's summary of the family: U5 RNA is a component of both types of known spliceosome. The precise function of this molecule is unknown, though it is known that the 5' loop is required for splice site selection and p220 binding, and that both the 3' stem-loop and the Sm site are important for Sm protein binding and cap methylation. Lineage: Eukaryota; Fungi; Basidiomycota; Agaricomycetes; Agaricales; Galerinaceae. The record is from Rfam by way of RNAcentral.